RNAcentral lists this ribosomal RNA (497 nucleotides) under uncultured bacterium. RNAcentral's name for it is "partial 16S ribosomal RNA". It matches the Rfam family "Bacterial small subunit ribosomal RNA", at positions 28 to 507 of the family's 1533-position model. The record is from RNAcentral.
GAUGAACGCUGGCGGCGUGCUUAAUACAUGCAAGUCGAACGAACGGGCGAGAAGCUUGCUUUUCUGAUGUUAGCGGCGGACGGGUGAGUAACACGUGGAUAAUCUACUUAUAAUUCUGAUAUAACUUCGGGAAACCGGAUCUAAUACCGUAUGAUAUUUUGAAGCGCAGUGUGCAAAAGUGAGAUACGGUCGUUCUGUCUCUUAUAGAUGCAUCCGGGCUGCAUUAGCUAGUUGUUAAGGUAACGGCUUACCAAGGCGACGAUGCAUAGCCGACCUGAGAGGGUGAUCGGCGGCCCUGGAAGUGAGACACGCACAAGACUCCUACGGGAGGCAGCAGUCGGGAACGGUAGGCAAUGGGCGAGAGCAUGACGGAGCAGCGCCGCGUCUGUGAUGACGGUGCUCGGAGCGUAAAACUCUGUUAUUAGUGAAGAACAUCUGUGUCAGUUGCUGUGGCCAGCUUGACGGUACCUAGUCAAGAAGCAACGGCUAACUACGUG